UCACAAAUUAGUGAGGGAGCUUUUUUUAAGUUGUAGUCUCAAUCUAGUUAGACAGCACUUUAUUGGUAAUAACUAUAUUAAACAGUAGUUAU
RNAcentral lists this small RNA (92 nucleotides) under Staphylococcus aureus subsp. aureus JKD6159. RNAcentral describes it as "Staphylococcus sRNA sau-27". It matches the Rfam family "Staphylococcus sRNA sau-27". The record is from Rfam by way of RNAcentral. Lineage: Bacteria; Bacillati; Bacillota; Bacilli; Caryophanales; Staphylococcaceae.